AUGGAGGUGAGGUCCCCCCUUAUCCUCUCUUUAUCUUCACCACAGGCAGCCCUUGACCCCCUUGGAUUCGAUUUGGCAGGCCGUGUGCAGGCGGGGAAGGACAGCGUGGCGCGCCUGGUGCGCGAGCUCGAGGGCGUCGACCUGCUCGUCGAGCACGUCCGCGGCGUCCCUGCCGAGUUCAUCAAGCUCACUGUCCGUGCCCAUGGGGAUUCUGGGCAGAGCGGCUUCUGA
RNAcentral lists this ribosomal RNA (231 nucleotides) under Triticum aestivum (bread wheat). Its description in RNAcentral is "partial small subunit ribosomal RNA". Lineage: Eukaryota; Viridiplantae; Streptophyta; Magnoliopsida; Poales; Poaceae. The record is from RNAcentral.